AUGGUGGCUUCUUCUCAGUCUCUUAACAAGCUCCAGGCUCGCUCUUUUAAAAACAAAACACUUGUUGGAGCCUUAGCACCCUUGAUCUACUCCUCCUCUUAACAAAACAUCUUCGAAAGGGCAGGGGACACAUGCUCUGCCUACAUGCGCUUACCUCCCGUUCACCCCUCUGCUCUCUUCGCAUCUCCGAAACUGCUUUCAAUAAGGCUUCCAGAAAUCAAAUCUAGUGCACCCUGAGAGACUGAAUAUACAAAUGAACGAUGCCAAACUAUAUACAAAAAUAGAACUUUGGCCAACAACCUGCAGCAACCAGGUCAGAAAACCAACCCCCUUGUCUACAAGGAACCACCCGGGAAGCCACCCUGCUGUAGGACCAACCAGAGAAGCCAAAUAUGCAUCGCAACCAACCACAUGGGAUGCCCCGCUUCCAGAUAGCCCACCUGCAGAUCCCUGACGCCAACAGCCUCCAGACAGGGCACACCUGGAGCCUGCCCUUUUCUACUCUAAAGCUUCCCCACUCCUCUGCUGCCUUUGGGUCUCUGCCAAAAUGCAGGUGAUGGCGGCUGACUCCCUUGCUGCAGCAAGCCCUG
Molecule: long non-coding RNA, 590 nt
Filed under: Equus caballus (horse)
Lineage: Eukaryota; Metazoa; Chordata; Mammalia; Perissodactyla; Equidae
Description: lncRNA (ENSECAG00000043949.1)
Source: RNAcentral